AGAGUUUGAUCCUGGCUUAGGAUGAACGCUAGCGGCAGGCCUAAUACAUGCAGGUCGAACGGGAUCCGGCCUUUCGGGGCCGGUGAGAGUGGCGCACGGGUGCGUAACGCGUAUGCAACCCACCCCCUGCAGGGGCAUAGCCGGUGGAAACGCCGGGCAAUUUCCCAUGCGUCCCGGAGAGGGCAUCCUUUCCGGGUGAAAGCCUACGGGCGGCGGGGGACGGGCAUGCGUGCCAUUAGCUGGUCGGCGGGGCGACGGCCCACCGAGGCUACGAUGGCUAGGGGAUCUGAGAGGACGGUCCCCCACACUGGUACUGAGACACGGACCAGACUCCUGCGGGAGGCAGCAGUAAGGGAUAUUGGGCAAUGGUCGGAAGACUGACCCAGCCAUGCCGCGUGAAGGGAAUGGGGCCCUACGGGUCGUGAACCUCUUUUGCCGGGGGACAAUCCGCCGCACGUGAUGCGGCGCUGCGGGUACCCGGCGAAUAAGCAUCGGCUAACUCCGUGCCAGCAGCGGC
RNAcentral lists this ribosomal RNA (517 nucleotides) under uncultured bacterium. Its description in RNAcentral is "bacterial SSU rRNA". It matches the Rfam family "Bacterial small subunit ribosomal RNA", at positions 8 to 518 of the family's 1533-position model. The record is from RNAcentral.